ACUGGGAUGGGGGUCUCCACAGCAUGACUUUGGGGCCUGGAUGCCCAAUGCUCCAUCAUCCAUGAGGCAGCCCCCACCCCAGACCAAGGGGACCACCACCCUGAAGACUUACCUAGACACCCUCCCUGAAGUGAACAUCAGCUGUAACAACCUCCUCCUCUUCUGGUUGGUUAGCCAAGAACCCAAGGACCAGAGGCCCCUGGGCACCUACCCAGAUGAGCACUUCACAGAGGAGGCCCCGAGGCGGAGCAUCGCCGCCUUCCAGAGCCGCCUGGCUCAGAUCUCAAGGGACAUCCAGGAGCGGAACCAGGGUCUGGCACUGCCCUACACCUACCUGGACCCUCCCCUCAUUGAGAACAGCGUCUCCAUCUAACCACCCCCAAAUACCACCCAAGAAGAAAGAAAGGUCCAAGCAUGAGGAGGACCAGUUCCUCAGGGUCCUCCAGACCCUUCCAUCCUCCCUGUUCUCAGUUCACCUGAACCUUCUCUUCUGCACAUGGAGACCUUUGCAGCCAAGAUGGCUCUGACAUCAUACAAACUGGGCCCUGAGCUGUGAGAGACCAGCACAGCAGCGUCCAGGUUAAAAGCCGCUGACCAAAGUCCAAUGCACAAUAGCCCCUCUGAAAGGAAGGAACCGCUUCACUUCUUGCCCUACUUGGGGCAGCCUCUUGUUCCAGCCUCUUGGAAUGCCCAGCUUGGGUUUCUGAGCUUUUCUCCCUCAUCCUCCCCCAUCCCCGAACUCCUUCUCCUAC
This 752-nucleotide small RNA is filed under the name Pan troglodytes (chimpanzee). Its description in RNAcentral is "retained intron". Lineage: Eukaryota; Metazoa; Chordata; Mammalia; Primates; Hominidae. The record is from RNAcentral.